RNAcentral lists this ribosomal RNA (399 nucleotides) under uncultured bacterium. RNAcentral's name for it is "bacterial SSU rRNA". It matches the Rfam family "Bacterial small subunit ribosomal RNA", at positions 28 to 430 of the family's 1533-position model. The record is from RNAcentral.
GACGAACGCUGGCGGCGUGCUUAACACAUGCAAGUCGAGCGGUAAGGCCCUUUCGGGGGUACGACGAGCGGCGAACGGGUGAGUAACACGUGGGUGACCUGCCCUCAGCUCUGGGAUAAGCCUGGGAAACCGGGUCUAAUACCGGAUAUGACUCCAUGACGCAUGUUGUGGGGUGGAAAGCCUUGUGCGGCUGAGGAUGGGCCCGCGGCCUAUCAGCUUGUUGGUGGGGUGANGGCCUACCAAGGCGACGACGGGUAGCCGGCCUGAGAGGGCGACCGGCCACACUGGGACUGAGACACGGCCCAGACUCCUACGGGAGGCAGCAGUGGGGAAUCUUGCGCAAUGGGCGAAAGCCUGACGCAGCGACGCCGCGUGAGGGAUGACGGCCUGGUUGUAACU